Molecule: ribosomal RNA, 250 nt
Filed under: uncultured prokaryote
Description: partial 16S ribosomal RNA
Rfam family: Bacterial small subunit ribosomal RNA
Source: RNAcentral
UACGGAGGGUGCGAGCGUUAAUCGGAAUUACUGGGCGUAAAGCGCACGUAGGCUGUUUUGUAAGUCAGAGGUGAAAGCCCACGGCUUAACCGUGGAAUUGCCUUCGUAACUGCGGAACUUGAAUUCGGGAGAGGAUGGCGGAAUUUCAGGUGUAGGGGUGAAAUCCGUAGAUAUCUGAAAGGACAUCGGUGGCGAAGGCGGCCAUCUGGAUCGAUAUUGACGCUGAGGUGCGAAAGCGUGGGGAGCAAAC